Long non-coding RNA from Stegodyphus dumicola, 654 nucleotides. Lineage: Eukaryota; Metazoa; Arthropoda; Arachnida; Araneae; Eresidae. The record is from RefSeq and is a predicted model, not a curated record.
UGCUCAUCAGAUUAUGAGUAGCUGUCAGUUAAUUAAGUAAAGGAUAACCAAGUUUUUAGAUUUCUACACCAGAGGAAAAUAUUUCUGAUACUGAGGUAUUAGCACAACCAGCUUAGUAGAAGUCACGAAAGUUUCAGAAGAGACAAAUUAUGGCAGCCAUGUACAUAAAAAUUCUUCAUUUUCAGUAAGUUUAUCAUCACAGAAAAGUCUGGACAUUUCGGCUUGAUUCUGGAGAGCUUCUAUUUGACCAAUAGAUUCAAACUGUACUAAUCUUUUGAGUGAGGCUUCAAAGAUGCAUUACAAAUUCCUGUUAUCUGGAAAUUACUCUUCACUGUGCAGUACUAGCAAAAAAAGAAAAAAUCUCUUUAAAACGAAUUGAAUUUCGAGCACAGAUAACAAUGAUACCCUUUUCUAAAUGAAAUAUUGAUUAUCUUUAUAUUUCAUGUGCUAUAUACACAAAAUACACAAUUUCCUUUCUAAAUUUGUUGUGUUUUCUCCUUUUGUUCCUUUAUUUGGGAAAUCAGUUUAUGUUGCAUGCUAUGUAUAGACUUUACGAUAUAUCUACAGCUUUAUAUACUAUAGUUUGUGUUAUGAUUUUAUGGAACCUGUACACGCUUAAUACGUUUUGGAAAAUAAAGCUAAUGUUCUAGUUUA